RNAcentral lists this ribosomal RNA (775 nucleotides) under uncultured Neocallimastigales. Its description in RNAcentral is "partial large subunit ribosomal RNA". It matches the Rfam family "Eukaryotic large subunit ribosomal RNA", at positions 25 to 644 of the family's 3401-position model. The record is from RNAcentral. Lineage: Eukaryota; Fungi; Neocallimastigomycota; Neocallimastigomycetes; Neocallimastigales.
CCGUCUAUAUACGUAUAGCAUAUCAAUAAGCGGAGGAAAAGAAACUAACAAGGAUUCCCUUAGUAACGGCGAGUGAAGCGGGAAGAGCUCAAAUUUGAAAUCUUCAAGGUUCUACCUUGACGAAUUGUAGUUUAAAGAAGUGUUUUCUGUUGAAGUUUUGGUAAAAGUUCUUUGGGAUAGGACAUCAUAGAGGGUGAGAAUCCCGUAUUUGGUCAUUCCUCCUAGCGUUGUGAUACACUUUCAACGAGUCGGAUUGUUUGGGAAUGCAGUCCAAAAUGGGUGGUAAAUUUCAUCUAAAGCUAAAUAUUGGCGAGAGACCGAUAGCGAACAAGUACCAUGAGGGAAAGAUGAAAAGAACUUUGAAAAGAGAGUUAAACAGUACGUGAAAUUGUCAAAAGGGAAGCGUUUGACACCAGUGUUGUUUUUCCGAAAAUCAAUUACGAAUGUUUUAUUUUUGAGGAGUUAUGACUUCAUCGGCUUGCUCCUUUCUUUAUGAAACUUUCUUAAUGCACUUUUCGGUUAACAAGUCAACAUCAAUUUCUUUUGUUGUAAAAGGGUAUGAGGAAGGUGGCUUUCUUUUCGGAGAAAGUGUUUAUAGCCUUGUGCCUCUGCAAUCGGAGAGAUUGAGGUCUGCAGCGUAGAUCCUUCGGGGUUAGAUACAUUUGUGCUAAGUUAUAGCUUUUCAUAGACAACUUGUUGACUAUGUUUAGUCUUGUAGCUUACUCGCUUAUGCUAUUUUACCUACGCUUAGGAUGUUGACUGAUAUGUAGUCGUA